Lathyrus oleraceus (garden pea) is the source of this 1053-nucleotide long non-coding RNA. RefSeq lists it as uncharacterized. Lineage: Eukaryota; Viridiplantae; Streptophyta; Magnoliopsida; Fabales; Fabaceae. The record is from RefSeq and is a predicted model, not a curated record. The transcript is spliced from 2 exons.
AACACACGCAUGAACAUGAGCAAUUUCACUUUGUCGCUUCCAACCCUUUUAGACUCUCACGCUCUCAACUCAGAUAUUCAGACGCGAGGUUCCAUGCAAACACGCAGCAAUGCACGAAACCUUCUUGCUCCAUCAACCAAUCUCGCGCCCUUUUACGCUCAAGAAAAUCUAAGCAAUCGUUGAAUCCGAAUAGCUUCAUCCAAUCGAAUCCGAAAUAGAACUCUCCAAAUCAAACUUAUCUGGCACGUGGAAUUUAGAAGGGAGCGUAGAUGAAUCCAUGGAUUGCAUUUAAGAAGUGCAUGAAUUAUUGGAGAAAGAUAUAGAAGAUUUACUGAAUUAAACACUCUGAUGUGGUGGUUCUUCGGAAGUUACAUGUUUUGCCUUAUAAGUGAAAUGAUAUGAUGCAGCUUGGUGCAGCCUGGUGUGUUCUUCACUUCUGACUAGGUCCAUUGCCCUAGCUUACAUUGGUUUGUGUUAAGUGCAGGUUCGAUGCUAGUCAUGGAGUUGCAAUGUAUGCUUAUAAUUGAAAAGGUUAUAUGUAGGUUAUGGUUUUGGAUGUAGUUUGGAAUUUGGUUAUGAUGAAAACAUUGUUUAUAAUGAACAUAAAUUUUGCAAUGCUAAAAUUAACUUUGGAAAAUGGAUGAAACUAAGUGGAUUAUGUGUUGAAUAACACAACUUGUUAAUGUGUUUCUUUCCUUUGUAGGUACCUCUAUGGAAGGAAAAGUAAUUUGGGAUAGAAGGAGAUGAUGAUAUGAAGCAUGAAGAUGGUGGAUGUUAAUGCUUAGGAAUUAGAUGUUAGAACCUUAGGUCAUGAGCUUGUAUUUUUGAAUUUGAUUCAUGUGUAAGGUAUUAACCUGAUUAUGUACUUGAACCUUGAAUUUGAAUAGAAUGUUUGGAUUUGUAUAUGGAAAUGGGUUGUUGGUUUAUGAAAUUGUAAAGAUUAUGUAAGUUUGGAAAUUCUUAUAGUUUUGGAUUGGAAUUGUAAAAUGUAUCUGAAUUGGUGAAUGUAACUUUGAGGUUUUGAUGAAAUAACAUGUUGGAAUUGAAUCCAAA